AAUUAUACAAUAUCCGCGUAUAUAAUAAUAAUAACGUCGAUGUCGCGCGGUAAUUAUUAAUAAUGAUAGUAAUCUAAAUAAUAAUGAUAAUAAUAAUAUUAAACUGUACAAUUAUACGCGUAUAUACUCAUACACUAGAGGUCAAUGUCACGGAGUAUUAUCGGUUAAAUUGCCGCCAUUUCGUCGUUGUCGUUUGUAAUAUUUUCUUUCCUCUUAUACAUGUUGCGUAUACGUAUGUUCGCAGGGAAAAGAGAGUUGAAAACAAAAAAGUGUAAAAGAAAAAAUUAUUUAUAUACAUCAUCGCGAAGGGGCGAAAAAAACGGCAGUUAUGUAUACCCGGGAAGCCCGGAGAUUAUCCCGAAGGAUAAUCCGAUCCGAUCGUAUACCGUACGGAAGUCAUCGGUCACAGAUGUAUCCUCCCCGAGAAAUCUUUGGGAACGAGAUAUCGAGAUAUCGAGGGUGACGAAGAGAAUAAAAAUGAGAAAUGAAGAAAGAAAGGAAAAUAUUGAAAACAGAAAAGCGGAGAUGGUUGACAGAGGGCGGCCGAGGGCAGAGGUCACGGUGUUGGAGAGUUCUCGUUGGUUCGGAAUUCAGAGCACGUAGAUCGGGUCCUUGCAAACUGAUAUUCUGGCCUCCUGCAGAAUCCUUAAUCUAGGACCAAGAGGUUAUCGGGCGUUUGGUUUUGCUCAUAUUCUCUCUCUCUCUCUCUCUCUCUCUUCACUCCACGUACCUGGAUCAUCAAGUGUUGCGUUCUCAUUUCCGAACUCAAAUGAGCCACGGAUCUCGCCAGGGUGACAACGUGGGACUCGAGCCUCUGGAAUCUUUUGUUUAUGCUCUGCGAACAGGAAAAGGUAGACAGUACCCUGCUUACGUCGUACCUUGACAUCUUUGGCUUUUUUCAUCCUGUCGUCGACCAUGUGCGAUCGUCUUUUGUCGUGGUGUCUUGUGACCGGUCUGGAUGACACGGAUGACGUGGCGUCGUUUGUACUGAGAUCGGAAUCGCUUCUGUCCAACAUGGAUUCCAAAUCGAGGCCGGUCGUCGUCGACGUCAGAUCGGCGGCUUCUAUCCCGAAAACUGAGAUCUUCGGGGAUCGGGGGGGGGGGGGCGCCACUCCGAACGAUGGAUUUUCCCGCAGGUCGAACGCCGGAGUGAAACGAGUCGGAAGAAAUCUCUGGAGAUCCGGUUCGUCGGGGAAUCGACGGACCGUCGUUCGUCUUCCGCUCUACGCUAGAACUCGUACGAAGUUACUCGUCCUACUGGAAGAACUUGGACUUUCCAUUGAGUGAACGUCUGCCGGUUGGUUCCGCCGUUCUGGCCUCGCUUCCGGUAUACAUGGAUAGACCAAAAUAUACACACACACACAUAUAUAUAUAUACACACGUGUAACGUCAUCUUCGUCCAGUCCGUCCACGCGCGGGUGCUGCGAGAUCUCCCGGGGUAUUUCGUCGUCCGGGUACCGCUCGAGGUUCCAUAACCAUUUGCAGGACAAAUAACGCGGACGACGACGCGAUCGAGAACGAGGGGAAAACGGGGGAUCGGUAGGAAAGAUCUUCGAUCGUCCAUCCCGUGUCCAUCUUUUUUCGCGCUUUCGAUUCUCGCCCACGCCGCGCGGCGCGUGCGGAAUUUCGUCGACGUUGACACGGUUUUUUUUUUUCUUACUUCUUUUUCUUUUUUCGUUUUUUUACUUGUUUCUUCCUAUUUUUUUUUUUUUUUCUUCAUUUCUCUCGUCUCGUCGGACAUUUUCCCCCCCCCCCCUCAAUCGGGCCCGCUACGCCCGAUUCGCAUCAUCUCCGGCGAGCAUAUUUUUUUUUCUCUCUCCCGUCCUCGUUCGAACGACGAGUAACAACUUACUUCGUUCUGGUACCUAUAUUCCGUAGCGCACGGGUUAAUAUACAGCGAGUAACACGCGACUAUAUUCACGGCGUGUACGGCGUAGAAACGGGCGACGACCACGUUUCCACCUGUAUAAGAACCAGGUAGUACGGGGAAUCAUGCAUGGUUGAACUUCCUAAGUGUUCUUAGAGAGCGUUCCACUAAAGUCUCGAGGUCCGGUGGCCGGACGGACGGACGGACGGACGGCCGUGCAACGUCCCGAGAUACACACGAAAAGACGAAUUUUUCCCACGUGGACACGGGGCGUGGUGAGGGAUGCCUGAGAAACAAUUCUUGGGAAGAUUGAUCGAUUCUCGUUCGUUUUUUUGGUUUUUUUCAUCGUUUGGGCAAAACUAGAGAAAAUGGUAACAGAGGAAAGACAGAGAAAAAAAAAACCAACAACAGCUUCGCAGUUCUGCGUACGGCUAUUUGUGGGAGAAAGGAAUAUACGUGGGUACAGUCGGGCAAAGAAGAAUCGUCCGCAGGCGUCCCACUCCUCCUCCUCCGAUUCGCCGUAACUCCGAAGAGAGGAGAAAAUAAAUACCGAGGAGCGAGAACGACUCGUCCGCCCAUUGGCGUGUUGUUACCCUUCUCUCCCUCUUCAAAAGUUCCGCACGCCGUUCGACGGCCUUCGAUGUAACGAUGAUUCGGAAAAACGAAAAACGACGGACGAACAAAAAACAAAUUAGCGAAACGAAAGAACGAACGAAAAACUGAACGCUCCAUUCGAUUGUCCGAUAUGCAGCGAAUUCAAUAUGCCGACGACGAGGGACGAAUGAUUGAUACGGGGCCGCAGAUUUUUCGUUGGAACGGCGGGAGCAAAAGCGUACGAAGAAGGAGUAGGAAAAGGAGAAGGAGAAGGAGAAGAAGAAGAAGAAGAGGUAGUUGUGGUAGUAGUCGGACCUCCACCACCGUUCUCGUAACAGACAGGUGAAGAAGAGGAAGAAGAAGCAGUACCUAUGGUGGAUGUUGAAGAAG
This is a long non-coding RNA of Athalia rosae (coleseed sawfly), 2851 nucleotides long. RefSeq lists it as uncharacterized. The record is from RefSeq and is a predicted model, not a curated record. The transcript has 10 exons. NCBI's taxonomy places the organism in Eukaryota, Metazoa, Arthropoda, Insecta, Hymenoptera, Athaliidae.